This 71-nucleotide transfer RNA is filed under the name Nanobdellota archaeon. RNAcentral's name for it is "tRNA-Gly". It matches the Rfam family "tRNA". Rfam says of the family: Transfer RNA (tRNA) molecules are approximately 80 nucleotides in length. The record is from RNAcentral. Lineage: Archaea; Nanobdellati; Nanobdellota.
GCGCUGGUGGUUUAGCGGUAGAAUCUCUGCCUUCCAAGCAGAUGGUCCGGGUUCGACUCCCGGCCGGCGCA